AAAAUCUCGUAACUUCUAAGUGAACCAGGCAGUUUCCAAAACCUGCCUUUUAGCUAUUAAGCUAUAAAUAUUUGAAAAAAGUAUUUACAUUGACAAAUAACUAUGAAGUUUUUAGAACUUAUGAAGAUCAUGAUGAAGAAAAAACUAUUUGUAAUAUUAUCAAAUUGCUUAUUCCUUUCUGAAGUCAUUUAUUCAAUAUCAUUUAUUUGCAGAUAAUAGGUACCAGGCAUUGAGAAAUUCAGAAUAAAUAAGAAAAUGGAAUAAACAAAGGGUUAUAAAAAAAUCUAGGAUGGGUUAUUCAUUUUAAAAGAGAAUGGGGCUUAGGUGAAAAAAAGCAAAAAUAUACACAAGGACUUGAACAUUCUAACAUAAUGAGCAAGUCAUACCCUGCCAGAUGCACGAGAGUGGAUGACAGGAUGUGCUGGAAAGGAACAUGGGAAGUACCUAAAAUGAAAAGGACCUGAAAUGCAAUUCUAAAGAUUUCGUCUAAAAGAAAUGGCAAGUUGGCAGAUAAUUUUUAAAUUCAAGUGUAAAUAAUCUGAUAAGUAUUUUAGAAAGCUGACUGGAUGGUAUAAAGAGGGUGCAUUAGAGAAGGAAAAUAUGGGUGGCAGGGAGAUCUAUGAGGGUUUUGUGAUGGGUUGAAUGGUGUCCUCCCAGGAGAUAUGUUGAAGCCCUAUUUUUGGUACCUGUGAAUAUGACUUCAUUUGGAAAUAGGAUCUUUGCAGAUGAAAUCUAGUUAAGAUGGGUUCAUUAAGGUGGGCCCUAAUUCAAUAUGACUGUUUUCCUUAUAAAAAAAGGAAAAGACGGAGAAACGGGGAGAAGAAUGCCACAUAACAAUGAAGGUAGAGAAUGGGGUUACACAGCUACAGACCAGAGAACAUGAAGGACUGUCACCAACACCACUGCUAAGAGAAGGGCACAGAACAGGUUCUCCCGCAGAGCCUUUAGAGGAAGCAAGACCCUGUCAACAGCUUUUCUGAGUUCUAGCCUUCAGAACUGUGAGAGAAUAAAUUUCAGCUUAUGGUACUUUUUAUAUGACAGCCCAAGGAAACUAACACAAGUAUUGGUGGAACACUUCUUCAACAAAUAGCACUUGAAUUAAGGCAGUGGCAGUAAAAAUGGAGAGGAGGAGGUAUGUGGUAGACCAGGGAUAUAUUUGCUAAAGGACAAACGAAGUAAUGAGACUUAGAAACAGAACGAUGGAGCCACAAAGAAUGCCUGAAAUGGUAAUAGGAUACAUGCUGGAAUGUUGAUGGGCCCCAUUUCCACAAGCCUCCAAAUCUGCUUCUAGAUCCCAUUCAAGCAAGGGAGGAUUUGUUAAGAAGAAAGGCCCUUUGAGAGCACCAGUCCCUCCACCAGCCAGUCUAGUCCUAAGAGCUCUGAAGGCCAACCUUGGAGGUGGUUCAGGAGGGAAAAUGCAGGACCCAGGAUUUCAGUUGCCAAGCCAGAGAGCAGGGGACCCAGGAAAGAAUAUUGGCAUUCAUUUGAUUUUUCCAUCUUCUGAUAUAACCUUCAAAUGUUAAUAGUGUGUCGAAGAAUUUAUUGGAAAUGAGAAACAAGAAAACAGUGAGUCUAACCUAGUCAUUCUAGAAUUGGGAGGUAAUAGAAAAGAGAGAAAUGGGAAAGUUGCUCAAAUGCAAGUCCAGUGAAUCAGAGAGAAAAGGCUCAAAGCAGCAGAACAAAGCUUCAAUAAAGAGAUAUUGUGACUUGGAGAGAUGGCCUUUUGUCCUUUGUUCUAUUACCAGUCAGAGGAUGGGGAGCACACCCGAGCCUGAGACAACAGCUCUGCUAAGUGCCCUUGAGAGGGCACGGUGGGGUCAGCACCAAAGUCAGACCACUAAAGAGAAAAAGAGAGAAAGACAGGAUUGCAGAGGAGAAAUGAGAAUGGCAGAAAAAAUAAUUUUUUAAGCCAAAAGGAAUCAGAGAAGAGCAGAAGUGCCUCUAGGAUAAAGCGUAGCAGGCAGUUAGGGAAAAAGGGCUGUUAACUACCUUGAAGCUCUGACUACAUUAGAAAGCCUCGCAAGACAGUCGUUGCUUGCACGGGCAGGUAGAGAACUUUUCCUGUCCAUUGUUCUUCUGAAUUAUAAAUCACUGACCUCUUUAUGAUUUCUAAAGGGAAAAUGACUUCAAGCUUCUUAGAGUUCCCCUAAGGCAUUCUCUAUAUUCAAUAUAAUAUGGGAAGCCCUGGGUUUGUCUUUGUAUGUUUCAUCUGCAGUGACCUGAAAUCUUCAUAACCCUCUUCCUUUCUCCACUUAUCAACUAAGGGGUGGUUGGCAAUAAGGAUGGGUGGGAGAGAAAAAAAAACAGAAUUUGAGGAGGAGAGCAUUUAAACCAUCAGACUGUGUGUUCUGUGACAUCAAAGACUGGCAACAUUCUAAAGGAAAAGCAGCUGUGAAGUCAUAAUUAUGUUCACUUCCCACUGGCAACUGGCAAGCCCUUUAUUUUUGUGCAUUCGGAACUCACCAAGAAUAAAUAAAGUCCAUUCCCUCCUUGAGGGGCUAUUCUGCCAUUCCAUCUAGGAUUUAAAAGUUUGCCAAUUCCUAAAACAUCUAUUGUUAUCAAUAGUCUUGUGUCUUUCACAAAGCGGACUUUACAAAAUAAGUUAACAGGCCAUGAGAGGAACAGUCACACAUACCAAGAAAGGUACAUACGGAGAUAAUUCCAAUCAAAGUGAGCACAGCCUACGCAUAAACAGGAUCCCUGAAAUUUGGACAUGAUAGUAUGGGAGGAUUCAUGAGAAAAUGUGUGUGGAAUGAUUUGAACUUCUUGAAGAAUACAUACUCAGGAAUACUGCUAUUUGUGAUGAGAUAGUGUCAGAUGCAUAAAUUUGGGUUCUUUGAAUUACUGGCAUACAGGAAAACAGCAAAUCUAGGUCAACAGAGACCUUUUUCUCAGACUGCCUUUACUAUGAAUAAAAGACAAAGGAACUUUUCUAACUUUCUCAGAAAAGUGUCAACUUCUAUAAUUAUUUCAAUAAAUAAUCUUCCUCCAGGAGGAUAUAAUUUUAAGGUGUGUGCAGUGUCAUUUUAAAGACAGGUUUGUAGGUCUCACUUUCUUUUAUUUCCAAGUUAUCCCCUGGCAACAAGGGCUGUUUAUGUGGAGUAUUAAACAAGCUUCAGGACUGUGCACAGAACUCACUCCUAUUAUAUCUUAUUUUAAUCUGAUAUUACCAAACUUCCCAUGAACUAAAAAAAAAAUACCCAUAAAUUUUAAGUCCAGUGAGAUUUCUGUUUUCUCUAAAAAUUAGAGAGCUGAACUGUGUUUUGUGUGAGAUCAUCCAACAGUUUUUUAAAAAAAUCUUACUUCAGAAUCACAUUGAAAUCAUUAUGUCUUCUGGAAACCAGCUGAUAGCCAAAACAUUUAUUUAAAUUGUUUAUAAAAUGGGUGGGUGGUAUUUCAUAAUAGUUAUUGGUUUACUAUGCAUGACCUGUUGAUCUACCUGUUGAAACCAUUAUUUUAAAAUGUACUUCCCCCAAAAAUGCUACUUCUGUAUAUUUGUUUUUAUCAAAUAUAAAUUUACCUAGCUCUUUUAAGACACAGAUCUCACCCACUGAAUUAUGACUAACAUGAAUUUUGGAAAUUGUCCUAUUUUGAUAUGUCAGGAGAGAACGUUUUACUAGCAGGUUUCAUUAGCCAAGGUGGACCAGUGGGUAUUUUCUGACAUUGCAAAAGCAGCUUCAAAGUGCCACUUUCUUUUCCAGGAUGGGUCAAAUAAAACAACUCUACUCCAUUCUGUAAGAGAUUCAGGCACAGAAAGGAGAAGAUACUGGGCUGCUGACACAUUUUCUAUUCAUAAAUGCUUCUGUUUAUAGUAGAAAAUAUGACAUUCACCAUGAGCUGACCAGCCAUCAGUUCUGACAUUUAUCAGCAUCACUUUAGAAACCCAUGUGGAAAGGCAGAAAAGCAGAAGGGAACAGAAACUCACAUGCCACUUGCAGCAGAAUGCUUGUGCCAUCCUGACUCCCCCUCUCUGAAAGCCUGACUGUGCACCAUCCUCCUUGAUAACAACUACCACCCACUGAGCAAGCCUGCGGUAGGUUAUGUAGGUUCUAGGGGAAGGGGAUACAAAGUUAUGUUGGACACUUGGAAAUGCUUAGAAUCCAGUCGGGGAGCCAGCACAGGAAACAGUAACAUCUGAAUGCAUAGCCAGCUACUGGCCCUCUACAUGUAUAGCCAGCUAAUAAUGUGUGUGUGUGCAUGCACACACACAUGACUAGAAGAGGCAUUGUGCCUGGCAGUGAAAUGACAGAGGAAAGGCAUUUAUUGUAUGAGGGAAAAAAAAGUAGGGAAGUGGUAUCUUAAGAGCAAAACAUACAGUCUAUUCCUUCCACUCCAAAUAAUUGAAGGCUUCUGAAUGUGCAUUCCAAAUUUUGAGAUUAAAUGAAUAAGGCCAACCUGCUGCUGAUGGCCACAGUCAGAAAGGAGGGAAGAGACCACCCAACCCAGGACAGGAAGUGGAGCAGACUUCAUCUGGAACUUGGGAAUGCCUGCCUCCAUGAAAAAAAGUGUAAGUGAGAUUUCCCCCUUUUUGAUCCAUCUUCAACCACUUGAUAAAUUUUCACAAAAUCAGUAAUUUCCCAAAGUGGUUGUGAUGGAGCAGGGUAGCUUCCUAUUUGCAAGCAUCGGGUUAAGUAUCUAUGUUUUAAAAGAAUUAAACAUGUUAAUAUAAUACUGUGCCAAUAGUGCUUACAAAACAUGUGUGUGGGAGACACACUGCUGAGUUUCAGGAAAUAAAUAUCCCUUAACACAACACAUUGUAAUCAAAGAAGCAUAUUCACAAAACGUUAAAACUUUUUGCCAACUUCAUGUCAGCAAGCCCAGAGGGAGAGAACACGUAUGCUCUUUUUCAAUAGAGUAUCACAUUAUAGACCCAUUCAAUAAGGUCUGUAUGAGUUCAUUUGUUUCCAGAUAAAGAUUUCUGUGUGUGGGGAGACCUAACAACAACAACAAAAAAAGGCUUCGUGGAGAACGGACAAAUUAGUUGGUGUUUUAAAAGACAGAAGUAUGCAGACAGUGAAAGAGGAAUUUGGAGGAAAUGUGUUGGGAAGGGUACCAGUAAAUCUUAAACUGAGGGAAGAGCUCAGGCGAAACCUCCAGUGAUCUUCACAACGCUCAGGAGAAUGCUUAUACAUGAUUUGCACACAAAAUAUUGAAUUUGAAAAAAUCUUAUAUUGAAUUCCCAAGCCACUUGUAGAAUGCAAUGUGGCACACUAAUGUGGUAGAAGGGACAUAAAACAAACAAACAAACUCCCUACACAAAUACCCAUGGGAAAGGAAGAACAGCCUCACAGAACUUCAAAAAGAGAAAACAAAGAAAAAAAAAUCUCAUUUUCCAAUGUAUGCAAACAUGUAUUUUCUGAGCAAAGACAGGAUUACAAGUAGGCAGAAUAUAAGAUUUGAAAAGCAAAAGGAAAGGUUACAUCUCCCCACCACCUACCACUCACAAACCAGUUCAUCCACAGGCAAGCUGAUACUGAGACUCUACAACUACAUAUUUAUACUUUUGACUUAAAUGUGGCCUUCUCUUGAACAGCAAAUAAUCCCGAGAUUUACAAAUUAAGCCACAUGAGGCAUUUACACAUUAAAGAAAUGAAUUUUUAAGUCUUUCUUAAGAUAGAGAUUUUUGGGUUUGGAAGACAGAGAAAGAAUGAGAGUACUUAUGGGAAGAUGGCAUGGGUUAGGGGUUAGUAGCUUAAUUCAUAGAUUAAAAGGAAGACCUUUAUAGGAAUCUGGUUGUAUAGCUAGGAGCCAAACAGCCCCUUCCUGAUCAAAAAUGUUUUCAUCUAGUCUUUUACAAUAGAAAUUUAUUUAUCUUGUUUUAAAGUAUUCUUUAUGUCAUGCAUGUAAAUACCAAUAAGGUAUUUAAAUAUUCCCAUAUUGACAAGUAUCACUUU
RNAcentral lists this long non-coding RNA (5894 nucleotides) under Homo sapiens (human). RNAcentral describes it as "HSALNT0293380". The record is from RNAcentral. Lineage: Eukaryota; Metazoa; Chordata; Mammalia; Primates; Hominidae.